This 253-nucleotide ribosomal RNA is filed under the name uncultured bacterium. RNAcentral's name for it is "partial 16S ribosomal RNA". It matches the Rfam family "Bacterial small subunit ribosomal RNA", at positions 524 to 776 of the family's 1533-position model. The record is from RNAcentral.
UACGAGGGGGGCGAGCGUUGUUCGGAAUUAUUGGGCGUAAAGCGCGCGUAGGUGGCUUCGUAAGUCCGUUGUGAAAGUCAAAGGCUCAACCUUUGAAUGCCGAUGGAUACUGCGAAGCUAGAGUACGGAAGAGGCGAGUGGAAUUCCUGGUGUAGCGGUGGAAUGCGCAGAUAUCAGGAGGAACACCAAUAGCGAAGGCAGCUCGCUGGGACGUUACUGACACUAAGGCGCGAAAGCGUGGGGAGCGAACAGG